AUAUUUUCGUAACUUAAUAUUUUCUAUAAUAAAAUUAAUUUAAUUGGACUUCAACAUAAAUUGAUUUUACAAAACUCAUUUUAAAAGUUUAUACCAGACGUAAAAAGACACGACCCGCCCACCUGCAGCAACGGAAGAACAAGCCCGGGCAAGUCCUUCACGCUCGUCUGUUUCAUGAGUUUAUUUGAACAAGGUUUUCCACGGAGCCGGAUCAUUUAUACUUCAAGUUCCCCAUGCCUAACUGGAGCGCCUGGCUGAAGCCAUGUUUUCCUACACCGCUUACCCCAAUGAUGCCCAGAGAUGUGCAGUGGCAGAGGCACUAGUUGCAAAGCAUCCCUGCUUAAAGGAGCCCGGAUCUUUCAAUGGAAUUUAUGGGUGGCAGCAAAGCCUAAAGUACAAGUGUGGAAACUACCGGACAAAACGGAAAGCCCUUGGAAGCACUGAACUCCUGAUAAACUCACUGAGAAACAAGUCAAGUGAUGAGCGAAAAGCUGCUAAAAAUGUCAAGAAACCAAAGAGGGCAGAGGUGAAUUACUUGCCCUCACACCCACAUGGUGAAACAGAUGACACCCUUGAGAAUCUGAGACUUGACUUAAUUGCUGCCCCAAAGCUUGAUUACCCCAAAGCUCCUAGAGCUCUUUAGUGCCAAGGGUGGAGCAACUGGUCAACGCAUCAAAAACUUGAUGAUGGAACUGAUACAGGACCCAAGUGCCACUGCAGUGAAGAAGAGAGAUGUCACUCUGAGAUGCCUCUUUGAGUAUAUGGGAGAGAGUGGACAAGAGCUCAUCUCUGAUUACUUUGGGGCUGCAGAGACCACUGUUCAUGAGGACCUGAAAAUGAAGAAUAUGAUCAUCUAUGUCUGCCGUGAGCCAGAUGCAGUAGGAAUCAUCAUAGAGGGAAUACCAGUCCUUACCAAUCUUGGAAAUCUGGCCAAAGCAUGCUGCUUGCUGCUUGGGUUGACAUAUGCACUUAAUCUUGAGUAUCCAUCCAAGGUUUCCAAAACAUUUGAGGUGUUUCAAAGACUUUUCGUGGGACUUGACACACUGCGCCCAAAACCAAGCCCCAAGUUCAUGACUCUGAAAAACAAGCUCCUCGCCUAGGCACUCAGACAUGACUGUCACUCUGCACUUGUGAACAGCUGUUUUCUUUGUCUGUUCAACAUCAUUGUACACUGGACAUAAUGUUGAAUUUUUCAGGAUGUUCUAAUGGUUUGUUCUUGUAAUGUGUUAUACUAUGCUGCAGGUCAUUCUGGUGUGCAAAAAAGUUUAUAUUUUAUACACACAAAAUAGCCCUGCUGUGAAGCUGCACUUUAAAAACUGGUCAGUUAGUGGGAUCAGUGAGAUGUUUAACUAAAGAGGUUUCAAAAUAUUCACACACUGUGAAGGUAUUAUGCUAAGCUGCACUUUUUAAGUUGAGGUCAGAUGCUCAUGCUUGUGAUGCUCAUGCUUGUGACAUGCUGUAAUGUUAGUGUUAAAUGUUUCAAUGUUAUGUACACACUGUACUGUUAAGGUGUUUUACUAACCAGCAGUUUAUAAGCUAAGGUUAUGCUUUCUUUAAUGCAAGAACACAGAUGUUCUUGAUAGUUUAUACUGUCCAGCUCAUUGCUACUGUUUGUAUAUGGCUUGUGACAAAAGUGCCUGUUAACUUGAUAUUAAAAUGUUUUAAUAUUAUGUAUGUACACAGUAAAAAAUACUGUGAAGGUGUUCUACUAACCUGCACUUUGUAAGCUGAUGCAGAUGUUAUUGGUUGUUUACACUGUCCAGCUCAUUGCUGCUGUUUGUAUAUGGCAAUUAAUAAAUGCUGGAAAUUGACACAGUAUCUAAGCAACUAAUUAUUUGAAGCCGUUUACACUUCCAAAACAAGAAAGGGCAAACUGGUUAAAAUUAAUAAAUCAGAAGCCAUUAACCAGUAUUUUUUCAUUUAAAUGUUACCUAUUUUAAUUAAGCCUAAUGUGUGUAAUAUGCUGAUAUUUUUUACAUUGAUUGUACUCAAUUUAUUGGCUUUUUCUGAAAGUGCUACUUAAUAUUUUUACAUACAUUGAAAUGCUUAUUAUUAAGUUGGCCUUACUCAAAAUAUCAGUUAGUUCACUAAACUUGCAAAAAGUAGUUGGAAAAUGUUGUCUUAAUUUUAUUGAGUUAGAUCCAAGUAACAGUUUUAACAGUGUACAUCACUCUCAGAGCGAUUGCAUGUCUGACAGAUGACCAAGUUUACUGAGUGCCGUUAAGAGAUGGAUUCUGGGGCAGGAACCCAAUUUAU
Long non-coding RNA from Cyprinus carpio carpio, 2256 nucleotides. Lineage: Eukaryota; Metazoa; Chordata; Actinopteri; Cypriniformes; Cyprinidae. The record is from Ensembl.